RNAcentral lists this ribosomal RNA (429 nucleotides) under Bacillota bacterium. RNAcentral describes it as "Firmicutes bacterium partial 16S ribosomal RNA". It matches the Rfam family "Bacterial small subunit ribosomal RNA", at positions 355 to 776 of the family's 1533-position model. The record is from RNAcentral. Lineage: Bacteria; Bacillati; Bacillota.
UGGGGAAUUUUGGACAAUGGGGGCAACCCUGAUCCAGCAAUGCCGCGUGUGUGAAGAAGGCCUUCGGGUUGUAAAGCACUUUUGUCCGGGAAGAAAUCGCACCUGAUAAUACCGGGUGUGGAUGACGGUACCGGAAGAAUAAGGACCGGCUAACUACGUGCCAGCAGCCGCGGUAAUACGUAGGGUCCAAGCGUUAAUCGGAAUUACUGGGCGUAAAGCGUGCGCAGGCGGUUGUGCAAGACCGAUGUGAAAUCCCCGGGCUUAACCUGGGAAUUGCAUUGGUGACUGCACGGCUCGAGUGUGUCAGAGGGGGGUAGAAUUCCACGUGUAGCAGUGAAAUGCGUAGAGAUGUGGAGGAAUACCGAUGGCGAAGGCAGCCCCCUGGGAUAACACUGACGCUCAUGCACGAAAGCGUGGGGAGCAAACAGG